GGAAGUGGAGCGCUAGGAAGCGCUUCUACUGAGAUGACGUUAGUGACGGCAGCAGCGACAGCCAUCGUUAAUAAACUCGAAACUCGUGUGUUCCCCAAGUGCCGUGUGCGGACAGAAACCCACCCCAGGUUGUUCCCCAGCAGCCCGACCCCCUGGGCAGUGGCUUUCCGGCACCGCUUGCAGAGCUGCACAGAAACAGGACGCAGCUGCUGCAGGAGCUGUCAGUAGGCAGGCAGCACAGGCUGAGCUUGGUCAUGCAAACUCGUCCUGGUUUCCCAACGAAAAUGUGGGGAGGUAUCUUAUCAAACCAUCUGUCUACACGAGGCACCUCUGAACAGAGGCUCUUCUUCCUUUUGGAAAGGAUCAGGAGACAUCCUUUUUCCCUUUCUGCUGAGAUUGUUUGGAGUUCAGUUGCGAAAGCCAAGUGCAAAUGAAAUCAUAAUGGAAAGCAGAUAAAAAGCAAUGAGGGAGAAAACAGAAACGAGAAUCAGUUGCUCAGUUUUGCCAAACCAGACCUAGAGUGGAACAUUAGUCGGAAAAAUAAAUUAUCUUUCAUACAACCUCAAAGAUCAUAAAAAAGCAUUGCCAUAAAAAGCAUUAUGGCAAAGAAACGUCAUUUCCCACACUUUAUUUUUUUGUUGUUUGUUUGUUUCCAGAGGUGACAGCUGCACAAUCAUAGUGUAGGCUGUAACAUCUCAGUGGAUGAAUAAACAGCUCUUUACUGACUCUU
Lagopus muta (rock ptarmigan) is the source of this 730-nucleotide long non-coding RNA. RefSeq lists it as uncharacterized. The record is from RefSeq and is a predicted model, not a curated record. The transcript has 2 exons. NCBI's taxonomy places the organism in Eukaryota, Metazoa, Chordata, Aves, Galliformes, Phasianidae.